UAGGGAAUCUUCCACAAUGGGCGGAAGCCUGAUGGAGCAACGCCGCGUGUGUGAUGAAGGGUUUCGGCUCGUAAACACUGUUGUAAGAGAAGAAUGACAUUGAGAGUAACUGUUCAAUGUGUGACGGUAUCUUACCAGAAAGGAACGGCUAAAUACGUGCCAG
RNAcentral lists this ribosomal RNA (163 nucleotides) under uncultured bacterium. RNAcentral describes it as "partial 16S rRNA". It matches the Rfam family "Bacterial small subunit ribosomal RNA", at positions 355 to 511 of the family's 1533-position model. The record is from RNAcentral.